Oreochromis aureus is the source of this 524-nucleotide long non-coding RNA. The record is from Ensembl. Lineage: Eukaryota; Metazoa; Chordata; Actinopteri; Cichliformes; Cichlidae.
GUCGACUUACAUGGGAAGCUGAAUGGAAACCUUAGUUGCCAAGUUUGGAAUAAUAUUAGCAGAAAUGAAACAGUUAUUCACCUGGCAGCCUGCAAAGAUUCUGUUACAACCUUGACAGUGAUAGCAACUGUCAUCACGCUCUUUAUCGUUGUGGCUUUGAGUUUGGCUGUAAAACAGUUUUGUGAAAAAACAAGACCAACAACUGUUGAUGAGGAUGAUGUUGACAGUGACAUUAUCUACAGAGAUGUUAAAGUGACAAAUGAUAACAAAUUAAACAAAAUUAACUCAGGAGAAUCAGCUGGGAUAGGUUCCAGCACUGAACUUGACUCUGAAGUGGAUCAGCCAUGAAGAAGAUGGAUUGAUGAAUUUUUUUGCUUGUAUUCCAAAAUUUUUGUUAUUGAUUAUUUGUUAUUAUGUUUUUCACUAUCGAGUUAUCCUAAUUACUCAAGGAUUCAUCAAUCAAAAGGACUAACAUGAAUGAUAAGCAAAACUAUUGUGUUAUUGCUGUGAGGAACAUGUUAACA